CAGAGGGGGCAAGCGUUGUUCGGAAUUACUGGGCGUAAAGGGCGCGUAGGCGGCCUGUUAAGUCGAACGUGAAAUCCCCGGGCUCAACCCGGGAACUGCGUCCGAAACUGGCAGGCUCGAAUUCGGGAGAGGGAUGCGGAAUUCCAGGUGUAGCGGUGAAAUGCGUAGAUAUCUGGAGGAACAUCGGUGGCGAAGGCGGCAUCCUGGACCGAUAUUGACGCUGAGGCGCGAAAGCCAGGGGAGCAAACGGGAUUAGAUACCCCGGUAGUCCUGGCCCUAAACGAUGAAUGCUUGGUGUGGCGGGUAUCGAUCCCUGCCGUGCCGAAGCUAACGCAUUAAGCAUUCCGCCUGGGGAGUACGGUCGCAAGGCUG
This 372-nucleotide ribosomal RNA is filed under the name uncultured organism. Its description in RNAcentral is "bacterial SSU rRNA". It matches the Rfam family "Bacterial small subunit ribosomal RNA", at positions 526 to 896 of the family's 1533-position model. The record is from RNAcentral.